RNAcentral lists this ribosomal RNA (481 nucleotides) under uncultured bacterium. Its description in RNAcentral is "bacterial SSU rRNA". It matches the Rfam family "Bacterial small subunit ribosomal RNA", at positions 29 to 506 of the family's 1533-position model. The record is from RNAcentral.
UUGAACGCUGGCGGAAUGCUUUACACAUGCAAGUCGAGCGGCAGCGCGGGGCAACCUGGCGGCGAGCGGCGAACGGGUGAGUAAUGCAUCGGAACAUGUCCAUGUCGUGGGGGAUAGCCCGGCGAAAGCCGGAUUAAUACCGCAUACGCCCGAGAGGGGAAAGUGGGGGACCGCAAGGCCUCACGCGAUUGGGUUGGCCGAUGUCCGAUUAGCUUGUUGGUGAGGUAAAGGCUUACCAAGGCGAUGAUCGGUAGCUGGUCUGAGAGGAUGAUCAGCCACACUGGGACUGAGACACGGCCCAGACUCCUACGGGAGGCAGCAGUGGGGAAUUUUGGACAAUGGGGGCAACCCUGAUCCAGCCAUUCCGCGUGAGUGAAGAAGGCCUUCGGGUUGUAAACCGCUUUCAGCCGGAAAGAAAUCGUCAAGGCUAAUAUCCUUGAUGGAUGACGGUACCGGAAGAAGAAGCACCGGCUAACUGCGU